Molecule: non-coding RNA, 3337 nt
Organism: Nicotiana tabacum (common tobacco)
Lineage: Eukaryota; Viridiplantae; Streptophyta; Magnoliopsida; Solanales; Solanaceae
Source: RefSeq, a predicted model, not a curated record
AUCUCAGCUUUUUUCUACUCUUUUUCUGUUCUUCAAUCUUUUAAAUUUUAAAAAUUUUGUGGUUGCUUAUGGCGUUAACUCUACUGUCCUUGUGAUUUUUAGUAGAUUCUACUUCAUUCUCCUUCUUUCUUUGUUGCACCCAUUUCUUGGUGAUGUGAUGUUGAUAGAUCCAAUUUGAUUUUCUUCAUAUCUUAGAUUUUUCGCUCUCUGCAAUUUUCCUCUUGCUUAGCUACUUUAAGAGAUUUGAGUUUUCUCCUAUUUUUUAUUUUUUUUAAUUUCAUGGAUUCUGUCUCUUUCUAAUUUUAUCACUUGCUUGAUACUAAUGUUCCAGCCUCUGUUGUGUUUGUUUUUACAUUCUUUUGAAUAGUUUCUUGCUAGAUCUACAUACAUGUCAGAAGUUCUAUCUAAUUUUCAUAUGCAUGCUUGGAAAUAAAUACUUAGGUGCGUGUUUUUUGUUUCUAAUUUUGGUUGUGUAACGGUGUUUUUGUGUGCAAAUUUUAUUAUUUGAAGUUGCCUAUUUAAGGUGAAUUCAAAAAGUUUAUUUUUCUGAUUUUCUUUAGAUUUGAUUUCUUGGUUCUUAAAAAAGUGGAUCUAAAGUAGUGAGAUACUUCUGCUCUCCAGUUUUUGUUCUCUCUCUUAUGAGUUUUGUGUAAUAUGUGAUUCCUAUAAAUACCUCUCACCAUUACCAUACAGUUGUAGAGGUAUGCACAUAAGGUGUUUGAUAAGGAAAUCUUUUGCGAGGCACUAUUUGGUUCUUAAACUCUUCAUUAUUUCAAUGUAUUUCAUGCAUUGCAACAGACAUGGGGUGGUCUUCUGUUUUGAAACCAUGACAAGCAUAAACCAAUGACCUGAUCGAGAAAAAAGUCAUUGGCGAAUUUGAGAGGAGCUGACUCGAUGAACAGGAAAACUACUAUCAAUUGAUAGGAAUCAUCAUGCAUAAUCAAUAAACCAUGGUAAACAUCAAAAUGUGCAUAUCUCAUGAUGCACUAUGCUAUUCUGGAAAAGAUCUAUUAUUGGGCUCAAUUCAUGAUUGAUACAAAUAGGAGUUCAUUCUUUUGAAUGUGGCAAUGAUGCUGGUCAUGGCUAUUUAACUGAUGCACAAAGCGUUAUAAUUUUUUUUAAAGUUAUUGUAGCUACAUAUAGUGAAUAUGAUAUCAAAGUCAUUUGUUUCAAGGGUUGGGCACUUGGGCAUGUCACACAACAAAAUGAUGAAGGAAUUUGCAUUGGAGGUUUGAGAAGAAUGCAAGUCGAUAUUAUUCUUACUUUCUUUUUUCCUGGUAUUUGUUUCUUCUUUUCAUUUUUGUUUUGGUACUGCUUCAUGUUGUGUGGAGUAUUUUGUAACUAUGAACAAAUUAUUCCUUUCUUCAAAGUUAUGUGAAAUAUGUCUUGAAUCAUCAGAUCCACACUCCAAAGAAGAAUGUGAAGAAGGAAAAAGAAAAUUUACUAACUUGCUAAACCAUAUAUAAUGACGCAUUGUAAACUUCUGUUAUGUUCUUUUCUAUGUGUCUAUGUGAUCUUUGGUGACAUUUAGGGAAAACAUGAUUACUAUAAGAGCACAAACUAACUCAUAUUUUGUUGGUUAGUCUUAUUGAGCAAGAAAUUCGUUUAUACCUAUUUGUACUUUGAAGUUGUACUCCACAUUCUUUAGUAUAAUCAUGUUUAUUAGAUGUGGGUAUAUUUUUCACCAUACAUUUGUGUUUAUAUAUCUAUCAGUUUCUUGCUUGGAAUUAAAGUUUAGUUGAUGUUAUAGUAUAAAAGUAUAAGGAGAUUUAAGAAAUCAUGCUCAAUAUAUAGAGUAGUAAAUAGUUACAACAAUAUUAUGGUUCAACUUUCUGUACUACAGAAUUAAGUGAUUGGCUUAACGAGUUUUGUCAAAGGCGAAAAGCUCUAAAAAACAUUCCAUACGUAUUGGGGCUUUAAGCGCAAAACGCAAUUGAAGUGUGGGUUUUAGUAAAAAAAAAAGGUGGAAUAAAGGAAAAAAAUAAAAAUAUAUAUGUAAUUUAGGGAAAAAGUAAGUCUUUUCCUUAAUAACUAAUAUACUUAUUUGCCAAUUAUAUUUGUUGUUUAGUACCGUUCCAUUCAAAAUAGAAUUCAUGGGCAAUGAGUGUUCACGCCUUAGUGCUUUGCAUACACUAGAGCACAACUUAAGCGAGAGGAAGCACCAUCCGUGAGCGUUUUUGAGCUUCAGGGCUAAAGCGUGCCCCUUUGACAACACCGGGCUUAACCACAACAUCUUGGUGGUAAAUUGAAUUCAGAGUUUAUUUGUGCCGCAGAGUUAUGCGAUUUCAUGUGUUUUAUCUACCUUUUGGAUAAUUAGUGUUAGAAUAUUAUUAUUAAUCUUUAUAUUAUGUGAUGUAUGAAUUCAUAUUCAUGUUGUGGUAUCGUGUCAAUUGUCAAUAGCUUCUCCUAAAAUGCGAAGUCUACCUUUUGAUCUAUAUAAUGAAUGGCCUCGAUCUUCUGUUGGAAGGUAAUAUCUCUAUUUCUACGCAAUAACUCUUAUUUCAUUGCUAAAAUAUGUAUUUUUGGUAGUUAAGUGUUGAUGAUAAUAGUGAAGAUAUAUUAAUGAGAUGGCUCAUUAAUACUUGUGGAACAUGAUUGUAUUUGAUGGUCAUAAUUGAAUACCCAUGCAAAGUUCAUGCUACUUCUCAACAGACAAGCAGUUGAUCAGAUGUGCUUAAUCCACCGAUUUAUUGUUUGAGAAAUUUGAGAAGCCUAAAAUAUCAGGUUGGUAAUUUGAAGGCAACCGAUUCUUUAUGUUUUCUCCCUCGAUUGAAACUGUCUAAAAGGCUAUUAUUAUUGAACCAUGCACUUUACGCAUCAAUCCAGAUAAAAAAUAUGCUCGCUUUGCACUUGAAAUAUGUCAGCAAGCUGCGACUCUCAGGAUUAUCAUGAUAAGAAGUUGCUAUUGCUUCCCCAAAUCUAUCAUCAGGUUGAUUACAUCAGAUUUAGAAUAUUCUGAAGAUGCAGUUGGAAACCAAGUGGAUUAAGGGUAACCAAAGUAUGUCAAAUGCCUUGAUAGUUGUUGCUUCAACAUUUGCUGACCGAUUAGCACAACUGUAGAAGACUAAUCUUUACUAGCGAUCUUAGAACCUUAAAGUGUCUACACUCAGAAGUUACAUCGCCCGAUCGCUCUUAAAGAUCUACUUAUUGCUAGCACUCCAAUGUACGGAGAUUGAAGAGUUGCAGAAUAAAAUUAUUGAAUUAUUUCAAGCUCUCGUUUUUGAAGAGAGAGGAUAAUUAACAUAUCAUUUGUAGCAGACAUAUAAUGUACAACAAGUAAAUGUCGAUAUCGCAUUAAUUUAAAUAUUUCUGUUGAUGCAAUGCCACUAUUUCGCUA